UGGGGAAUAUUGCACAAUGGGCGCAAGCCUGAUGCAGCGAUGCCGCGUGAGGGAAGAAGGUUUUCGGAUUGUAAACCUCUGUCAUCAGGGACGAAAAAAGACGGUACCUGAGAAGGAAGCUCCGGCUAACUACGUGCCAGCAGCCGCGGUAAUACGUAGGGAGCAAGCGUUGUCCGGAAUUACUGGGUGUAAAGGGAGCGCAGGCGGACCGGCAAGUUGGAAGUGAAAACUAUGGGCUCAACCCAUAAAUUGCUUUCAAAACUGCUGGCCUUGAGUAGUGCAGAGGUAGGUGGAAUUCCCGGUGUAGCGGUGGAAUGCGUAGAUAUCGGGAGGAACACCAGUGGCGAAGGCGACCUACUGGGCACCAACUGACGCUGAGGCUCGAAAGCA
Molecule: ribosomal RNA, 390 nt
Filed under: uncultured Gemmiger sp.
Lineage: Bacteria; Bacillati; Bacillota; Clostridia; Eubacteriales; Oscillospiraceae
Description: bacterial SSU rRNA
Rfam family: Bacterial small subunit ribosomal RNA
Source: RNAcentral